RNAcentral lists this long non-coding RNA (208 nucleotides) under Homo sapiens (human). RNAcentral's name for it is "HSALNT0368706". The record is from RNAcentral. Lineage: Eukaryota; Metazoa; Chordata; Mammalia; Primates; Hominidae.
CUGGGUUCUUGUCUCACAACGAGGAAAAAUUACGCACAUGGACACACUAAAAGGAGAUGUUUCUUUUGUGUAUCUUGCUGUUUUGGUAGUCACCUGUUUGCAGUGGCACCAUUGAAUCUAUCUUCAAGAAGCUGAGAAAGCAGAAACCUGGGAAUUAAUGGAUUCAGUAUUAUAAAUCAACUUGGAUGGAGCUGGAGACCAUUAUUCU